GCUGGGCAUGGUGGUGGGUGCCUGUAAUCCCAGCUACUCAGGAGGCUGAGGCAGGAGAAUUGCCUGAACCCAGGAGGCAGAGGUUGCGGUGAGCCGAGAUCGCGCCAUUGCACUCCAGCCUGGGUAACAAGAGCGAAACUCCGUCUCAAAAAAAAAAAAAAAAUAUGGUGACCUCCUGGGAAACGGGGGACCACCAGGUUGCCUAAGGAGGGGUGAACCAGCCCAGGUCGGAAACGGAGCAGGUCAAAACUCCCGUGCUGAUCAGUAAUGGGAUCAUGCCUCUGAAUAGCCACUGCACUCCAGCCUGGGCAACAUAGAGAGACCCCGUCUCUU
This 333-nucleotide signal recognition particle RNA is filed under the name Aotus nancymaae (Ma's night monkey). RNAcentral's name for it is "Metazoan signal recognition particle RNA (ENSANAG00000010382.1)". It matches the Rfam family "Metazoan signal recognition particle RNA". Rfam says of the family: The signal recognition particle (SRP) is a universally conserved ribonucleoprotein. It is involved in the co-translational targeting of proteins to membranes. The record is from Rfam by way of RNAcentral. Lineage: Eukaryota; Metazoa; Chordata; Mammalia; Primates; Aotidae.